This 28-nucleotide small RNA is filed under the name Bombyx mori (domestic silkworm). RNAcentral's name for it is "ovarian small RNA-24087". Lineage: Eukaryota; Metazoa; Arthropoda; Insecta; Lepidoptera; Bombycidae. The record is from RNAcentral.
UAUUACCGAACGGGGAGAGAGGUGACGA